UGUCGUCAGCAAUGUUUCUAUCGGAUUCCCCGGAAGUAGUAUUACCAAGAAAGAAUGUAAACAAACUCCGGUGAAUACCAGAAAACGAAAGGAAGGACAGGGUUUCCAGAACAGAAGACCUCAGGAUCGGAGAGGAAACUUCAGGGGAAGACCCUAUACAAGCAGGGGGAGAGUACGAGGAAGGGGUCAGAGACCAUUCCAAAAUCAAUAUCAACAGUACCAACAGCAAUACCAAUAAAUAAUUCAUAUUUUACCAAAAGUGCUUUCCAAGAUGAAGGAAGAUUGUGUCUUGAUGGGUAUAUUAAUAGUUCCAGCUUGGCCGUCCCAGAAUUGCUAGAGACUGCCAGCUGGAAGAAUGAGCAGACGUUUUUUAAAUAUUAUAAGAGGGAAGAGGUUACAGAAGCAAGUACAGUGUUUCAAGAUUAUGUUUUCUCUGAUAAAUGAUUUACAGUAUUAAAAUUAUUUAACUAC
Patella vulgata (common limpet) is the source of this 471-nucleotide long non-coding RNA. RefSeq lists it as uncharacterized. The transcript has 4 exons. The record is from RefSeq and is a predicted model, not a curated record. Lineage: Eukaryota; Metazoa; Mollusca; Gastropoda; Patellidae.